UCACUUACAUAACUCAUUCCCGUCACAUUGACUCUCAUAUAUAUUUCACCGAAAUUUUUUUUUGUUUUAAAAUAUAUAUAUUACCAACAAUGGCCACUUACACAUUAUAUGGUCGGUUUCAAUUAUUCAUAUUCUACUGAUUAUAAAAAAAAAAAACACAAACAUGCCACUAGUGUUUCUCACGCAACCAACCAUAUGUUCAUAAAAAAAUAAAAAUAAAAACCAAUAACAAAUAUGCAAUCAGUGACUCUCACACAGCCGACUAUAUAUUCAUCCCAUUGAUAAAAGAAUAAAUAAACAAAAUGAUAUCAUUAACAACCCACACAAUUGGUAUGAUUCCAUAGCAAAUUGGUAUUCUUGAUUCUAAUAAGAUAAAGAGCACUUGCUUCCAACCCGACUGCACCUCCUCUCUUCAGCAACCGAAUCUGCUGUCCAAAGAACCCAGCUGCCCUCCAAGAUCUGUGCGUGUUAUAGCGAGUCUUAUCGUGCGUGCUGGAAUGAUUUAUUCCUUGCUUCAAGAAUGGUGCGGCUGGUUCCCUCUUCAAAGCAGUGUAAAAUUCCUUUCAGAUCAAUGCAUGGAGGCUGUUUCAAAAUCCAAAGGUGCAGCUGUUUUCUUCUCCAAAGUGGCGGGCUGUUGGAGAUGUGUGGGGUCUUUGUUAGAUAAAUAUCUCUAAUAAUAAUUACGAGUAAUAAAAUGAAAAUCCAAGAUCAUACCUCUAGUCAUGACAAUUAGAUUCACACAAAAUAGGGAUUAGUUGGCUAGCCCUUACAAGACCUUAUGUCCAUGCACCGAUGGAACUCACAGACUUAUUCUGUAGAUCAGAAACCCUUCUUCCCUCUUCUGGAAUUAAUCUUGUAUCUCCCUAUUUAUUUUCUCUUCUUCCCAUCAAAGAAGACUUCGGGUGGCUUUCAACCGAGUAAUAUGUCCCUAGACAUGGGUGGUUACUCCAUAAGAGAUGUGCCCCACGUUUCAUUUAUUUUAGGGAAAAUAAUAUUUAAAUGGGCCACAAUUUAAAAUAUUUUUUUAUUUUAUUAAAAAUACAAAACUGUUUCCAAC
This 1057-nucleotide long non-coding RNA is filed under the name Vitis vinifera (wine grape). RNAcentral's name for it is "long non-coding RNA (VVIN_LNC003153)". The record is from RNAcentral. Lineage: Eukaryota; Viridiplantae; Streptophyta; Magnoliopsida; Vitales; Vitaceae.